UACAGAGGUGGCAAGCGUUGUUCGGAAUUACUGGGCGUAAAGGGCGCGUAGGCGGUCCUGUAAGUCUUGUGUGAAAUCCCUCGGCUUAACUGAGGAACUGCACGAGAUACUGCGAGACUUGAGUUCGGGAGAGGAAAGCGGAAUUCCGGGUGUAGCGGUGAAAUGCGUAGAUAUCCGGAAGAACACCCGUGGCGAAGGCGAAUCUCUGGACAGUUACUGACACUGAGGCACGAAGGCCAGGGGAGCAAACGGG
This 253-nucleotide ribosomal RNA is filed under the name uncultured bacterium. RNAcentral's name for it is "partial 16S ribosomal RNA". It matches the Rfam family "Bacterial small subunit ribosomal RNA", at positions 524 to 776 of the family's 1533-position model. The record is from RNAcentral.